Molecule: ribosomal RNA, 254 nt
Filed under: uncultured bacterium
Lineage: Bacteria
Description: partial 16S ribosomal RNA
Rfam family: Bacterial small subunit ribosomal RNA
Source: RNAcentral
UACGGGGGGAGCAAGCGUUGUUCGGAUUUAUUGGGCGUAAAGAGCUCGUAGGCGGUUGGGUAAGUCGGGUGUGAAAACUCCAGGCUCAACUUGGAGAUGCCACCCGAUACUGCUCUGACUUGAGUUCGGUAGGGGAGUGGGGAAUUCCUGGUGUAGCGGUGAAAUGCGCAGAUAUCAGGAGGAACACCGGUGGCGAAGGCGCCACUCUGGGCCGAAACUGACGCUGAGGAGCGAAAGCGUGGGUAGCAAACAGG